AGGUACUUUGAACUCAAGUAAACAAAAGGGAAUAUUUUCUCGUUGAUACUGGAGACUGCACAACAAUGGGGCCACGAAAAAAAAGUGUGAAAACAUGUAUCAUGAAUAAUGAAAUUCCAGAAGAAAUGACAGCAGAUGAAACAAAGGACUAUAUGAAUCAACUUUCACAUGAAGUACUUUGCCAUAUUUUUAGGUACCUGCCUCUGCAGGAUAUCAUGUGUAUGGAAUGUCUUUCCCGGAAACUAAAGGAAGCAGUGACCCUAUAUCUGCGAGUUGUGAGAGUUGUAGAUCUCUGUGCAGGGCGGUGGUGGGAAUACAUGCCAAGUGGCUUUACAGAUUCCAGUUUUCUAACACUAUUAAAGAAGAUGCCAGAUGUUGAACAGCUAUAUGGCCUUCACCCUCGAUACCUUGAGAGGCGAAGAGUAAGGGGCCAUGAGGCUUUUAGCAUUCCAGGAGUCCUGGAAGCUUUGCAGGCAUGCCCAAACUUAGUGGGUGUGGAAACUUCUCAUUUGGAGUUGGUAGAAUCCAUUUGGACAUAUAUGCCCCAUGUUCAUAUUUUGGGGAAAUUUCGUAAUCGUAAUGGAGCUUUUCCAAUUCCUCCUGAAAAUAAACUGAAAAUUCCUGUAGGAGCCAAAAUCCAAACUUUACAUUUAGUUGGGGUGAAUGUUCCUGAAAUUCCUUGUAUCCCAAUGCUAAGGCACCUUUAUAUGAAGUGGGUAAGACUUACUAAACCACAGCCAUUUAAAGACUUCCUUUGUAUCAGCUUAAGAACUUUCGUCAUGAGGAACUGUGCAGGACCCACAAAUUCCUUGAAAUAUGUCCCUUUAGUAACAGGCUUAGCCUCUGCCCGAAACUUGGAACACUUAGAAAUGGUUCGAGUUCCUUUCCUUGGAGGUCUUAUCCAACAUGUUGUUGAAGACAGUUGGAGAUCAGGUGGUUUUAGAAAUUUGCACACUAUUGUUCUGGGAGCUUGCAAAAAUGCUCUUGAAGUAGAUCUUGGUUACCUCAUCAUUACUGCUGCCCGUAGGUA
Molecule: small RNA, 1030 nt
Filed under: Pongo abelii (Sumatran orangutan)
Lineage: Eukaryota; Metazoa; Chordata; Mammalia; Primates; Hominidae
Description: processed transcript
Source: RNAcentral